UUGACCCUCUCCGCUUUUCACCUGGAAGUCCCUCCCUUCCCAUCAGCAGAAGGGAUUUGCCCAUUUCCUCCUCCCACAGCCCCAAUAUCAAUCCGUGUCAUUUGAUUCUCAGGCUGCGGGUGCCCCUCAAUGCCCGCCUGGCCGUAACAGGAGUCGGCCGCAAUGCCACCUUGUAGGGUUCCCUUCCAACAGGAAGGAUCGAGUCCGGCUGGACUCCUGGCCGAGGAUUUACCAUCUUCACCUGCUGGGCUGGGCUUUCAGACGCUUUUUUGGCGGCCAGAGCGCACCUCUGGUUAGCUCAGGUCUCCCAGAUCCUCCUCAUGACGCCACCUCCGAGGCCUACAAACACGCAGACACGCCUUGGGAAAGCAACACAUUCGCGAGUCGGAUCUGAAUUCUGUCCGUUGCUCCUUUAGCCCCUCAAGAUAACUUCUGGAGACUUUCCUGGAAAGGGAGAGGUUGGUUACUCAAUUACUCUGUUAGGGAACUGUGAGUUUACACAAGCUGGACUCAGCCAUUGCCAGAUGGUGCCAGAUCCAACGUCUGUGCAGUCAAGAGCAGAGCAAGAAGAUCAUGAUUAUUAUUACCAUUAAAAAAAACUCAGCACAGAACAACACAGACUUGGAAAUUUAGAGAGCACUUCUAAGCUCUUAAAUUAUUACGACUAUUUACAAACCGUCUACAAGAUAGCGCUGGCUGGAUUUGGUACUUUUGACUCUGGAUCCUUCCCAAGGAUUUAGGAUCAUUAAAGAUAUCGUUGUA
This is a long non-coding RNA of Python bivittatus (Burmese python), 762 nucleotides long. RefSeq lists it as uncharacterized. Lineage: Eukaryota; Metazoa; Chordata; Lepidosauria; Squamata; Pythonidae. The record is from RefSeq and is a predicted model, not a curated record.